GUUGUGCGUGAGAACUCGCUGGUUUAAUGAUGUCUAUCAGGACCAUUUGUAAGGGUGACUGAGUGUUGGGCGUCGUCUGUGCACUGUUCACUCAUUUAACGCUUGGGAAAAAUCUGGGUAGCUAGCACUGUUAAUUUCAUCCUAUAGAAGGGGAAACUGAGUUGCAGGAAGAUUAAGAAAUUUCCUUAAAGUUACACACCCAGGAAGUGACAGAAUUUGAAUCAGAACCCAAGUCCCACAAUAAUCUUGUGCUGCUCUGUGUCUAUGCCAGGUGUCUAGAAUUGAAAGAUUCAAGAUUCUUAAAUUUUCAGCAAAACCCAAAGGAAGUUUUUCUUUGGAACACAAGGGUUUGGAGCACGUUCAAUGGAGGCCUUCCCCAAAUGGCCUGCAAUCUAAUUCCUUCUGCCUGCAAUCUAAUUCAGUCCUUGCAGGACUGGCUAUACUCACAUGAUUCAUAAAAAGGAAAACAAGGGUAAGCAAGUUUUCUUUGAUGCUCUUUUCCUAUUAAUUUAUCACUUUUAACAUUUCAUUUAAUGUACAUAAUUGAAUAAUAAGAGAAUGGUGGCCCUGUGAGAAUUUUGUUUUUCGGAUACAUUAUUUAUUUAUUAUUUACUUUUUUGAGAGGAGAGGGGGAGAGAGGAAGGGGGAGAGUGGGAGCAUUUUUCUUUUUGUUUGUUGGGAGCCUGGAUACCUGUCCCUAACAGCUAGGGAUGAGCUGGGGCCAGAGUCAUGAGCCAGUCAUGCAAUCCAGGCCAGAGGUGGGGGCAGGGAUCCAAUGACUUGGGCCAUCACAUGAUGCCUCCCAGGAUCUGAAUUGGGGGGAAGCUGAAAUCAAGAGCCAGAGUCAGCGAUCAAAUCCAGACACUACAAUAUGGGACACAGGCCUCCCGACUAGCAUCUUACGUGCUAAGUUCAACGCCCAGCUCUAUUUUUCUGUUAUUUAAGAAGAUGAGCAGAGGACAAAAGCAUUCUUCAGAGGUGUUGGCAACUGAUUGUCAGUCAUUACUCCUGGGUGGGGAAUAUUUUGCAAAGCAGAGUGAGUCUGGGAUCCUGGUGCUGGGAGCUAUGGACGGUGAUCUGGCAUUGUCUCUCCCUGUUCUCGGCCUGUCAUCUCCAGUGUUGGAGGCUGAGUGCUGAGCGCUGCCUCGGCUACAAGACUGUGCCAGAAACUCUGAGUGAGACCCAGAAAUCUGCACUGUCAUGCACUUUCAUGUUAGAGCACCGCCGGGUCUCCAUUUGAGGACAACUGAGAACAUGAGACGGAGCUCCAGUGGCGCAAUCGGUUAGCAAAAGAUGUUUUUUUUUUCAAGAUGAAGAAAAGUGUGCUUGGCUAAAGCUCCAUAAAAUAACAUGGGGCAUUCUUAUAGGAGGUAGAUGCCAUAUAGGGCAAGUAGGCUAUCCCAGAAUGUUAAUAUCUUGGUGACAAUUGACAAAAAUUGACCUAAAAAUGUGAGCUACUUUGAUUCAUUCCCAUGGUGCCUGUGUAGACCCUCCCCAAGAUAUACACCUUCUAAUUUCUGGGUACUGUGAAUCAAACCUUGAAUUCCUACUCCAAGGUCUUUGCAGCUAUGAUUCAAUUAAGGAUUUGGGGGUGGGGAUUACUUGGUGUUCUUGAGAUAGGGCCUAAAUGUGUUAACAGAGGUCCCCAUACAACAGAGGCAGAGGGGUAUUUCACAUACAAAUGCACACACACACAGAAGAGAGGAAGACAUUGUGGAUAGCCACAUAGGAAGGCACAGGUUGGAGUGAUGCAGCUAUAGGACAAGGACUACUGACACUGCACACAAGCUGCAGGGAGCAGGAAUGGAUUCCCUCUCUCCCCCCAGAGUCUGGAGAGAGUAGAACCCUGUGAACCCCUUGAUUUAAGUCCUGUAAGACUUAUGGCAAAUUUCUGGCCCCAGAGCUAUCAGAAAAUAGAUGUGUGUUGCUUUAAAUUCACAAAUUUGUAGAAAUUUGUUACUGUAACUGUAGAAAACGAAUACAAUA
This 1986-nucleotide long non-coding RNA is filed under the name Oryctolagus cuniculus (rabbit). RNAcentral's name for it is "lncRNA (ENSOCUG00000038174.1)". Lineage: Eukaryota; Metazoa; Chordata; Mammalia; Lagomorpha; Leporidae. The record is from RNAcentral.